UUCCAAUUUCCAACUACAUUUAAUUACAAUCAUAAACUAAACUUUACAUUCAAGUUUCAUCCUACAAAAUCUACAACAAUAAAUCCUACUUUGCAAAGCUAAGCCAAUGCCCAUUUCUAAGUCCAUUCCAAACCCAAAAUAGUCCAAGAAUCCAUUCAAGGCAUAACAUGAUAGCAACUCCAUGGAAAAGGAGUCCAUUUGAUCAUAGGCUACAAAAAAUCCAAACCAAAACUAACAUUAGGCAUCCAUAUAUAUCACAGUAAAUAUUAGCAUCAACACAUCAAUGGCAAUAGCAUUCCACCUAAUACUAACUCUCAUAACAGAAAGAGAAUUAACCAACUAAUAUAACCCAACAAACAUCAACUACCUGGAACAUAGAACCAAUUACAUUUCCCUAACUGAACUCCAAUCCCUUCAAAGAACCAACUCAGAAUCUAAAAUCACCUGCAUAAUGUAACAGAGACCUCACAACCAUAAAACUGGCUGCAACCUGCAAAAACCAACCUCACCCUUUAACUUCGCAUAACAGAAACCGAAACUGAACCAAUCCCCUUAGAGUCUUUAACUCCCAACUGUUAUAACAAAUCACCUAACUCCCUUCAACCAUCUUCCACUGAACCUCACCUUCCAUAAAAACAAACCUCAACCUCUCACCAAGAAAUCAGAGAGAAAUCAGAAAACAAACAGAAGC
Molecule: long non-coding RNA, 691 nt
Filed under: Lathyrus oleraceus (garden pea)
Lineage: Eukaryota; Viridiplantae; Streptophyta; Magnoliopsida; Fabales; Fabaceae
Description: Pisum sativum (pea) long non-coding RNA (PSAT_LNC042326)
Source: RNAcentral